RNAcentral lists this ribosomal RNA (397 nucleotides) under uncultured bacterium. RNAcentral's name for it is "partial 16S ribosomal RNA". It matches the Rfam family "Bacterial small subunit ribosomal RNA", at positions 523 to 918 of the family's 1533-position model. The record is from RNAcentral.
AUACGUAGGGGGCGAGCGUUGUCCGGAAUGAUUGGGCGUAAAGGGCGCGUAGGCGGCCCGGUAAGUCUGGAGUGAAAGUCCCGUUUUUAAGAUGGGAAUUGCUUUGGAUACUGUCGGGCUUGAGUGCAGGAGAGGUAAGUGGAAUUCCCAGUGUAGCGGUGAAAUGCGUAGAGAUUGGGAGGAACACCAGUGGCGAAGGCGACUUACUGGACUGUAACUGACGCUGAGGUGCGAAAGUGUGGGGAGCAAACAGGAUUAGAUACCCUGGUAGUCCACACUGUAAACGAUGAAUGCUAGGUGUAGGGGGUAUCGACCCCUUCUGUGCCGCAGUCAACACAAUAAGCAUUCCGCCUGGGGAGUACGGCCGCAAGGUUGAAACUCAAAGGAAUUGACGGGG